UCGGGAAUUUUGCGCAAUGGACGAAAGUCUGACGCAGCAACGCCGCGUGAGGGAUGACGGCCUUCGGGUUGUAAACCUCUUUAUCAGGGAAGAUAAUGACGGUACCUGAUGAAUAAGUCACGGCUAACUACGUGCCAGCAGCCGCGGUAAUACGUAGGUGACAAGCGUUGUCCGGAUUUACUGGGCGUAAAGAGCGCGCAGGCGGUCGAUCAAGUCGAGUGUGAAAGCCCCCGGCUCAACUGGGGAGGGUCAUUCGAUACUGAUCGACUCGAAGGCAGGAGAGGGUAGUGGAAUUCCCGGUGUAGUGGUGAAAUGCGUAGAUAUCGGGAGGAACACCAGUGGCGAAGGCGACUACCUGGCCUGUUCUUGACGCUGAGGCGCGAAAGCUAGGGGAGCAAACGGGAUUAGAUACCCCCGGUAGUCCCUAGCCGUAAACGAUGGACUACUAGGUGUUGGUGGUAUCAACCCCGCCAGUGCCGAAGCUAACGCA
RNAcentral lists this ribosomal RNA (490 nucleotides) under uncultured Acidobacteriota bacterium. RNAcentral's name for it is "bacterial SSU rRNA". It matches the Rfam family "Bacterial small subunit ribosomal RNA", at positions 355 to 859 of the family's 1533-position model. The record is from RNAcentral. Lineage: Bacteria; Pseudomonadati; Acidobacteriota.